Molecule: ribosomal RNA, 756 nt
Filed under: Bacillus subtilis
Lineage: Bacteria; Bacillati; Bacillota; Bacilli; Caryophanales; Bacillaceae
Description: bacterial SSU rRNA
Rfam family: Bacterial small subunit ribosomal RNA
Source: RNAcentral
CUAUACAUGCAAGUCGAGCGGACAGAUGGGAGCUUGCUCCCUGAUGUUAGCGGCGGACGGGUGAGUAACACGUGGGUAACCUGCCUGUAAGACUGGGAUAACUCCGGGAAACCGGGGCUAAUACCGGAUGCUUGUUUGAACCGCAUGGUUCAAACAUAAAAGGUGGCUUCGGCUACCACUUACAGAUGGACCCGCGGCGCAUUAGCUAGUUGGUGAGGUAAUGGCUCACCAAGGCAACGAUGCGUAGCCGACCUGAGAGGGUGAUCGGCCACACUGGGACUGAGACACGGCCCAGACUCCUACGGGAGGCAGCAGUAGGGAAUCUUCCGCAAUGGACGAAAGUCUGACGGAGCAACGCCGCGUGAGUGAUGAAGGUUUUCGGAUCGUAAAGCUCUGUUGUUAGGGAAGAACAAGUACCGUUCGAAUAGGGCGGUACCUUGACGGUACCUAACCAGAAAGCCACGGCUAACUACGUGCCAGCAGCCGCGGUAAUACGUAGGUGGCAAGCGUUGUCCGGAAUUAUUGGGCGUAAAGGGCUCGCAGGCGGUUUCUUAAGUCUGAUGUGAAAGCCCCCGGCUCAACCGGGGAGGGUCAUUGGAAACUGGGGAACUUGAGUGCAGAAGAGGAGAGUGGAAUUCCACGUGUAGCGGUGAAAUGCGUAGAGAUGUGGAGGAACACCAGUGGCGAAGGCGACUCUCUGGUCUGUAACUGACGCUGAGGAGCGAAAGCGUGGGGAGCGAACAGGAUUAGAUACCC